Long non-coding RNA from Uranotaenia lowii, 753 nucleotides. RefSeq lists it as uncharacterized. Lineage: Eukaryota; Metazoa; Arthropoda; Insecta; Diptera; Culicidae. The transcript is spliced from 3 exons. The record is from RefSeq and is a predicted model, not a curated record.
CAGCCGUGACACCAACAGUAACUAAAGCGAUGUAACAUCGGCUACGAAUGAACUCACCUACCUGUUACCGAUGCCGGGCGCCGUUGUCGCUCACUUAUUAGCAGUUAGCACGUGGAAUCUUGGAAUCUUGGAACCUGGGAAGAACAACAACAAGCAUGCGCAUGCCAACCCGCAGGCCCUUUUAAAACCUAGAGCUAACGAUUUCGCGCGUAGGGCUGCGUUCAAUGCCGUAAACUGAGGGUUUAAAUUCUACACGUGCAUCAGUCCAGUCAGCUGAUUGCACCGAUUGCACAAAACAAAUUCAAAUGUGAAAAUACCAUAAAACCCUCCGAGUGUACAACACUGAUUGAUCGUUUUAACGACUUUUCGCUAGUUAGUAUUGGUGAUCAAAGAAGACUAGAAAAAAAUCUUUGUUUUAUAAACGGCCAUUUUGACAUCAGACCUAGCCGGAGCUGGAUUAAAAAAUGCUCGACGCAGGCAUGGAGGUGCUGGCGGUUUGUUCCAAAGCUGUGCAAGAGACGGCACCAUGUGAUUCAAUUUUGAAUAGCCCUUUGUGUAAUCUGCCCGCUCAUCCAGGCUACCACGUCAUGCAAUGCUUAUUGAUCGCUUCAAGCCCCAGGCCGCCAAAGCACGGGCUUAAUUCUAGAGCCCCUAAUGAAGGAGAGGUCCUCAUAUGCCAGAUCCUGGUGCCGAGCGACCAAUUUUAUUUGGCCAAAAGUGUAGUGUAGUGCAGUGUGUUUAGCGAAGUGUAAU